CAAAGGAGGCGACUCCGGUGACGGAUGGGCAUGCGGCGCAUUAGGUAGUUGGUAGGGUAACGGCCUACCAAGCCGACGAUGCGUAGGGGUUCUGAGAGGAAGGUCCCCCACAUUGGAACUGAGACACGGUCCAAACUCCUACGGGAGGCAGCAGUGAGGAAUAUUGGUCAAUGGCCGGAAGGCUGAACCAGCCAAGUCGCGUGAGGGAAUAAGGCCCUAUGGGUCGUAAACCUCUUUUGUCAGGGAGCAAAGGCGUCCACGUGUGGACGAGAGGAGAGUACCUGAAGAAAAAGCAUCGGCUAACUCCGUGCCAGCAGCCGCGGUAAUACGGAGGAUGCGAGCGUUAUCCGGAUUUAUUGGGUUUAAAGGGUGCGUAGGCGGAGUGUCAAGUCAGCGGUAAAAUUUCGGGGCUCAACCCCGUCGUGCCGUUGAAACUGACACCCUUGAGUGAGUGAGAAGUAAGCGGAAUGCGUGGUGUAGCGGUGAAAUGCAUAGAUAUCACGCAGAACGCCGAUUGCGAAGGCAGCUUACCGGCGCUCAACUGACGCUGAGGCACGAAAGUGCGGGUAUCGAACAGGAUUAGAUACCCUGGUAGUCCGCACAGUAAACGAUGAAUGCUAGAUGUCCGGGGCGAAUGAGC
RNAcentral lists this ribosomal RNA (640 nucleotides) under uncultured bacterium. RNAcentral describes it as "bacterial SSU rRNA". It matches the Rfam family "Bacterial small subunit ribosomal RNA", at positions 202 to 837 of the family's 1533-position model. The record is from RNAcentral.